This 71-nucleotide transfer RNA is filed under the name Loxodonta africana (African savanna elephant). It matches the Rfam family "tRNA". Rfam says of the family: Transfer RNA (tRNA) molecules are approximately 80 nucleotides in length. Lineage: Eukaryota; Metazoa; Chordata; Mammalia; Proboscidea; Elephantidae. The record is from Rfam by way of RNAcentral.
GCGGUGGUGGUUCAGAGGUAGAAUUCUCACCUUCCACGCAGGAGACCUGGGUUCAAUUCCUGGCCAGUGUA